Molecule: ribosomal RNA, 695 nt
Filed under: uncultured bacterium
Lineage: Bacteria
Description: bacterial SSU rRNA
Rfam family: Bacterial small subunit ribosomal RNA
Source: RNAcentral
AAUGGCUUUAGUGGCGGACUGGUGAGUAACGCGUGAGCAACCUGCCUACUAGAGGGGAAUAACAGUGAGAAAUCAUUGCUAAUACCGCAUAUGUCAUGAACAUCACAUGAUGAAAAUGGGAAAAGAGUAAUCUGCUAGUAGAUGGGCUCGCGUCUGAUUAGAUAGUUGGUGGGGUAACGGCCUACCAAGUCAACGAUCAGUAGCCGGACUGAGAGGUUGAACGGCCACAUUGGGACUGAGAUACGGCCCAGACUCCUACGGGAGGCAGCAGUCGGGAAUAUUGCGCAAUGGAGGAAACUCUGACGCAGUGACGCCGCGUAUAGGAAGAAGGUUUUCGGAUUGUAAACUAUUGUCGUUAGGGAAGAUACAAGACAGUACCUAAGGAGGAAGCUCCGGCUAACUACGUGCCAGCAGCCGCGGUAAUACGUAGGGAGCAAGCGUUAUCCGGAUUUAUUGGGUGUAAAGGGUGCGUAGACGGGACAACAAGUUAGUUGUGAAAUCCCUCGGCUUAACUGAGGAACUGCAACUAAAACUAUUGUUCUUGAGUGUUGGAGAGGAAAGUGGAAUUCCUAGUGUAGCGGUGAAAUGCGUAGAUAUUAGGAGGAACACCGGUGGCGAAGGCGACUUUCUGGACAAUAACUGACGUUGAGGCACGAAAGUGUGGGGAGCAAACAGGAUUAGAUACCCUGGUAGUC